GUGCCUAACACAUGCAAGUCGAACGAGAAAGUGGAGCAAUCCAUGAGUACAGUGGCGUACGGGUGAGUAACACGUGACUAACCUACCCUCGAGCGGGGAAUAACCUCGGGAAACCGGGGCUAAUACCGCAUAACAUCUUCGGAUCAAAUGCGUAAGCAGCUUGAGGAGGGGGUCGCGGCCGAUUAGCUAGUUGGCGGGGUAACGGCCCACCAAGGCGAUGAUCGGUAGCCGGCCUGAGAGGGCGCACGGCCGCACUGGAACUGAAACACGGUCCAG
RNAcentral lists this ribosomal RNA (276 nucleotides) under uncultured bacterium. Its description in RNAcentral is "partial 16S ribosomal RNA". It matches the Rfam family "Bacterial small subunit ribosomal RNA", at positions 44 to 334 of the family's 1533-position model. The record is from RNAcentral.